CUUGUCUGUUCUCUCAAUAUGUAUAGACCCAGAACCACUACAAAAAACUUCAGACCAGCGUGUUGUAUAUCAUCCUGAUUCCACAGAUUCCACCCAUACACUCUUCUCAGAUGCAACAAGCAAACAGACGCUCCACUACCAACCGAUCCUGCUGACUGGCCUGCACAUCUCACGAACACAAUAAGGACAGAGUUUGUUCGGAGCGGACCAAAUCAGAGAUGGGCCAUCCUCAAGAAAAAUGUCAACCCUGGUCAGAAACCAGUUGGGCGAGCAAAGUGAAACCUGUGGAACCUCUGCGAUAUGAAGCCACAGCUGUAAGAGAGGCACUGCCUGAGGUGAGAAUCCAGGCCAAAGACCCAAUCAUCAGGAUUGAAGCCCAGUCUCUGGCAGAAGAAGUGGGGUCAUUCUGCUUUUCACUGUGCACAGUGGUCUGGUAUGAUGUGUUGAUUCAAAUUCAGCAGGUGAGCAAACUCUUGCAGUCCCAAACAAUG
Molecule: long non-coding RNA, 491 nt
Organism: Pleuronectes platessa (European plaice)
Lineage: Eukaryota; Metazoa; Chordata; Actinopteri; Pleuronectiformes; Pleuronectidae
Exons: 3
Source: RefSeq, a predicted model, not a curated record